Molecule: long non-coding RNA, 1806 nt
Organism: Setaria italica (foxtail millet)
Lineage: Eukaryota; Viridiplantae; Streptophyta; Magnoliopsida; Poales; Poaceae
Exons: 3
Source: RefSeq, a predicted model, not a curated record
UCAUGCCGAUGCAUCUUGGUGUUUUAUGAGUGAAAAAGUUUCAAAAAUGUGUUUAGACGUUGUUAAGACCCUUCUGUUUUUCCAAUUUUUUCUAAAAUUUAUUCUCCUUUUCCUAUAGCUAAAUCUAAUUUUUAGAUGGUUCUAGAAUCCUUUUCAUGAGCACCAAAUAUUUUAUUUGGAUUCCUCGUGUUUCAAACUAUCUAAAUUUUCAGAGUAAAUUUUUAUUUACACAAGAAAUUAAUUCUGAAAAUAAAAAGAGAAAAACCUCUCCCUCAAUCUAUCUCUUUAGGCCGGCCCCUUUCUCCUCCUCCUUCGCUUCGGCCUGAAAGAAAUCUCCAGCGCCGGCCCAAUCUCCCCUUCCUUCUCUUUUUUCUGCCGGCCCACCUUCUCUCCCUUGCAUCGGCCCAACUUCCGCGGCCCACCUCUCCUUCCCCUUCUCUUUCCUUUCAGCAGGCCGUCGGCCCACUCGGCCUCUUUUCCCACCGGCCCAAGUCCUCUUGCCGGCCCAUCUCCGCGCCCUCUCGCUGACUGGUGGACCCCACAGAUCGGAAGCUCCUUCAACCUCCGGUUACAGGCACCGCCGCAUCUUCCAGGUCGCGUCGCCAGGCCGGCCGAAUCCUUCCGCCUCCCGCGCCCGUCCACCUCCCCGGCGCCCCCCUGCCUUCCUGCACCGCUUCGCCUUCCCCACGAGCACCACUCGCCCCCCCUUUCUCUUCCUCUUCCAGUAACGGCCGCCUACCACCAGUCGGUUCCCAUUCAUGGCGCCGCCGCCCCUUUACUUCUCCUCUACUGCGCCUCCUCCGCUCCCUCCUCCGUCCCUAUAAAUGGAUGCCCCGCCGCCACUGGAGCUCUUUACCCCGCUUCCCUCGCCUCCUCACGCCACCAAGCCGCCGCCAUCAAAGCUCCACCGCCGGCCAAAUCCCGCGCCUCCACUCCGGCCGCCGCCGCCUCGUGCUGCUUCCCUGGCCGCGUUGCGCCUCCGUCGCCCGCGCCACCUGCCACGCCGGCGCUGCCUGCACCGCAACCGCAACCGCGCCCCCUAGCCCCGACCGAAGGCACCGCCGGGAUCCCCCCUGAUGGUUCUGUCAAGUCGACCGGAUGCAAUCGGGAGAUGGAAGAAGACAAGGCGCACUUUUGCGUUUCGGCCCCUGAAAACCUUAUCUAACCCCGGAUUUUCAGCUUUUCGUGGGCUCUGCUCUCUGUGUCUUGAAGGAUCGCUGCUCAGAAGCUUUGAAGGUUAAAAGUUUCAAGAAAGCAAGAUCUGAAGAGCGGUAAGAGUAACUUUACGUUGGAGACCUAAUAACCAUCCUUCUACCUAUGCUUUGUUCACAAUAUCAUGAUAAUGUUAAUUGGAACAUGGAGAACCACCCGAAAAACAGUACAACCUCAAGAACUAUCAUGGCUCUGGUCUUGGCUAAUUAUAGAGACCUUAGUCUGGGGUAACCUUACUGAAAGGGUAAGAGGGGUGGCAGCAGAUGGGAUAUAAUUCGGUUCUCUUGGGACGUGGGCUUUGCUAAGACACUGUACCCACUAGGGAGGGUUUAUGCCCUGCUACUGAUUCGGAAACCUUAGCGGAUUACCACUUACUAGGGAAUUUUUGUAAAGGCCUCAUAGCGACCCUAUGCAAUCACACCUCGGAAGUGUGGUAUGGUGCCUAGCUAGCACCGCAUGGUUGGGUCCAAAGUUCUUUGAACUUUUACGCGACUUGUGGGUAAAUAUGUACAACCUUUGCAUAGUGUAAACUGAUUUAUCAGUGCUCACAAUUAAGAGCGGCCUGAACCCUCACAUGAUUAACUAACCUUGAAG